Molecule: ribosomal RNA, 318 nt
Filed under: Shigella sonnei
Lineage: Bacteria; Pseudomonadati; Pseudomonadota; Gammaproteobacteria; Enterobacterales; Enterobacteriaceae
Description: bacterial LSU rRNA
Rfam family: Bacterial large subunit ribosomal RNA
Source: RNAcentral
CGAAUGGGGAAACCCAGUGUGAUUCGUCACACUAUCAUUAACUGAAUCCAUAGGUUAAUGAGGCGAACCGGGGGAACUGAAACAUCUAAGUACCCCGAGGAAAAGAAAUCAACCGAGAUUCCCCCAGUAGCGGCGAGCGAACGGGGAGCAGCCCAGAGCCUGAAUCAGUGUGUGUGUUAGUGGAAGCGUCUGGAAAGGCGCGCGAUACAGGGUGACAGCCCCGUACACAAAAAUACACAUAUUGUGAGCUCGAUGAGUAGGGCGGGACACGUGGUAUCCUGUCUGAAUAUGGGGGGACCAUCCUCCAAGGCUAAAUAC